This is a long non-coding RNA of Ornithorhynchus anatinus (platypus), 384 nucleotides long. RefSeq lists it as uncharacterized. NCBI's taxonomy places the organism in Eukaryota, Metazoa, Chordata, Mammalia, Monotremata, Ornithorhynchidae. The transcript has 3 exons. The record is from RefSeq and is a predicted model, not a curated record.
UGCUGCGGCCGUCGCCCUAUAAUUCCUCGUUAUAGGAAUUUGAGGGAAGGGGGUCGUUACCUGACGGGACGGAUGAUCCGGUAGGUGCCCGAAGGAGCCGCCCGCCCCGAGUAGUGAACCGUUUACGUUUGGAAGUCCUUGGCUUUCAACUUUUCCAAUUCUGAUGAAUGGCAUUUCUGACAUGUCAAAAUGAAACUGCUGCUUGGCUUAAUGACAUGGGGCCCGACUUUACAACGUUAGUCUCCUGUAUGGUCCUAGUUCUGCUUACUGCCCAGAGCAACACAGCGCUUCAUCAGAGGUAAAAUGGAUGUGCCUGCCCUCCCUGGGGGCUCCCCUCAUCUACCAGACCGUGAGCCCGUUGUUGGACAGGGAUUGUCUCUAUCU